GACGUAGGGCGCGAGCGUUGUCCGGAUUUAUUGGGCGUAAAGAGCUCGUAGGCGGCUUGUCGCGUCGACUGUGAAAACCCGCGGCUCAACUGCGGGCCUGCAGCCGAUACGGGCAGGCUAGAGUUCGGUAGGGGAGACUGGAAUUCCUGGUGUAGCGGUGAAAUGCGUAGAUAUCUGGAGGAACACCGGUGGCGAAGGCGACAUCCUGGACCGGUAUUGACGCUGAGGCGCGAAAGCCAGGGGAGCAAACGGG
RNAcentral lists this ribosomal RNA (253 nucleotides) under uncultured bacterium. RNAcentral describes it as "partial 16S ribosomal RNA". It matches the Rfam family "Bacterial small subunit ribosomal RNA", at positions 524 to 776 of the family's 1533-position model. The record is from RNAcentral.